AUGAAGAUCCCACUCUCCUUAUUCCUGCUACUAAUCAGCCUCAUAGGUAUUCAGUGUCAGAGUCUUGAGUCUAUUCCCACUGGUUCAAUGGUGAAAAAACCUGGAGAAACUCUGAGUCUUUCCUGUAAAGGAUCUGGGUUUGACUUUGGUAACUCUGGCAUGCAUUGGAUCAGACAACAAGCUGGAAAAGCUCUAGAAUGGAUUGGGGUUAUCUGGUAUGAUUCCAGUAAAACAAUAUACGCCAAAGACAUUGAGGGACGUUUGGAAAUUACCAGAGACAACUCUAAAAACAUGGUGUAUCUGCAGCUGACUGGUUUGAGUGCCCAGGAUUCUGCUGUUUAUUACUGUGCUAGAUACCACAGUGGUGCACCUGAUGCAGGGAUGGCAAUAACUCUUACCGCUCCCUUGAACAAAGAGGGGAGGGUGUGUCUGUACACAGCCCAAAACUGCAGGGAGUCCUGUCCUGGAGGACAGUCUCAUCCUGGAGUAGUUUCUCUGAGUCCUGCCAUACGAAAUCAGGAUAUGGGUAAAGGAACGGGAGCCGAGAACUGGGCUAGCUGCUGCAAAACUCGCCCAGCAGUAUCGGAACGCUCACCAAGAGGGUCGUCAUUUCCAACCAACGAAAGGUGA
Non-coding RNA from Tachysurus vachellii, 630 nucleotides. The record is from the annotation of a RefSeq genome assembly. NCBI's taxonomy places the organism in Eukaryota, Metazoa, Chordata, Actinopteri, Siluriformes, Bagridae.